AUCCCUUCCCCAGGAGCACCCACUGCUUUCCAGGAAAAGACAACAAAAAGCAGCAAUUGAGAAUCCAGGAAUGGCUCGUCGUGUGUAGGCGCUGAAGAGCUGUAGCGGGAGAUCCGAGUCUCGUGCAACGCAGACCAGCUUCACUCACUCACUGCCAGCCAACCACUGACUCUCCAAGCCGCACCACAUCGUCCACACAGCCGACUUUUGUGCUCACAACGCACACAAGCCCCGUCGUACGUGUCUCACAAAUCGAUGAACGACCAAGAAUUCUUCUCCACAGUUCACGGCCCAAGUAACACACCCGAACAACUUCUCACGAACACAUGGGCAAACCCGAUAUGCCGCAUCUCACUCCACGAACACCUGACCACCGCGCAACAGAGCGAGAUGCAACCACCGACAGCACACAUCAAAGGGGGACGCAUGCGUGUAUUGGAGCAUGUCACGUAUUCACCACUUGCGUGACUCACGUAAUUUCAGAGUUUUUUUUUUAAUUCUCUUAUGUUCCAUUCUUCAUGAUUGCCCUCUCGCUCGGACAACCACGGGAAGUGGGCAGAAGUGCUGGGGGCUAGAGCGAGGCAGGAGAUGACGAUUACGGACCCUCGCAAACGCGGAGGUGACACCGAGUCAUGAAAUCCAGAGUGGAAUUGGCGCGUUCGUCACGAUUUUGCUCGUGGUCGAGCGGAUGGGAAAUUCAGGGGCACCUCAGAAGGCAAAAUCAUGCACCUCUGUUCAAAAAUUGUGACGUCACUUCUUUAAUUUUUAGUAAAGAAUUAUUAAAGAGUGUUAUUUUAUCAA
Lutzomyia longipalpis is the source of this 801-nucleotide long non-coding RNA. RefSeq lists it as uncharacterized. Lineage: Eukaryota; Metazoa; Arthropoda; Insecta; Diptera; Psychodidae. The transcript has 2 exons. The record is from RefSeq and is a predicted model, not a curated record.